This 560-nucleotide long non-coding RNA is filed under the name Brassica napus (rape). Its description in RNAcentral is "long non-coding RNA (BNAP_LNC017890)". The record is from RNAcentral. Lineage: Eukaryota; Viridiplantae; Streptophyta; Magnoliopsida; Brassicales; Brassicaceae.
UCCAAAAAUCAAUAUAAUUAUUCAAAUCCCAUAACACAACAUUAUCACAUUCAUACAAACCAUCACACAAGCAUACAACAUAUCAUCAAUCUACCACUAAUAAACCUUCACAAUCAUCCCUAACAUAUACGCUAUCAUCAUCCAUAUCAUCACCCAUAUCAUCAACCUAAAUCCUCUUCUGUUUCCAACUCAUGAUAACCAGAUUUCGAUCUCUACCUGUCGACAAAAAAAAAAAUCUAAGCCUCUGCCUACAACCCUAAUUCCUCCGCCUCUAGCCUCCAGCCUCCAGCCUCUAGCCUCCAGAGCAUCCGCCUUCAGCCUCCAGAGUGCUGUCGUCGCAUCACCACAGAAAAAACAGAGCACGAGUUAUGUUCUGUUCUUGAAUCACCAGCCCUUUGUCUUCUCGUCUCGAGCCAUGCUUCUUCUGAUAUGGAGUCGGUGGCGAGACCACCACCACCAAGCUUCUUCAGCCUCCUCCACUUUAUUUAACUAAGAACACAAACGCAAAACCAGAAUCAGAACACUAGGAUAGAGAGAGAGAGAGAGAGAGAGAGAGNNNN